UUUUGAAUUUGUUCUCGGUUAUGCAGUAAGUCGAUUUUUCGAUAUUUUUGGACAACUACACAUAGUUUUUUACACUUACUUAGGGAAAACCACCAUCUAACUAUUACAAACCAGACACCCUACCGUUGGAGAGUAACGAACAGUACGAUAGCGACUAGACAAAAUUUCCCCUGAAGAAGACCGACAAAACCGGUCGAAACGUCGGGCAGUUUUAAUAUAAACAUCGCUUGAUUAUUUUUAACCGACUGAGAAAGCCGACCAAUCAGAACA
This is a long non-coding RNA of Culex quinquefasciatus (southern house mosquito), 270 nucleotides long. RefSeq lists it as uncharacterized. Lineage: Eukaryota; Metazoa; Arthropoda; Insecta; Diptera; Culicidae. The transcript has 2 exons. The record is from RefSeq and is a predicted model, not a curated record.